ACCUCUUGCCAAUCUUGCCUGAUCUCGGAAGCUAAGCAGGGUUAGGUCUGAUUGGUACUUGGAUGGGAGACCACCUGGGAAUGCCAGGCACAGUAGGCA
RNAcentral lists this ribosomal RNA (99 nucleotides) under Salvator merianae (Argentine black and white tegu). Lineage: Eukaryota; Metazoa; Chordata; Lepidosauria; Squamata; Teiidae. The record is from RNAcentral.